RNAcentral lists this transfer RNA (76 nucleotides) under Candidatus Omnitrophota bacterium. Its description in RNAcentral is "tRNA-Ala". It matches the Rfam family "tRNA". Rfam says of the family: Transfer RNA (tRNA) molecules are approximately 80 nucleotides in length. Their secondary structure includes four short double-helical elements and three loops (D, anti-codon, and T loops). Lineage: Bacteria; Pseudomonadati; Candidatus Omnitrophota. The record is from RNAcentral.
GGGGUCAUGGCGCAGCUGGGAGCGCGCCUCGUUCGCAACGAGGAGGUCCGGGGUUCGAAUCCCCGUGACUCCACCA